This 253-nucleotide ribosomal RNA is filed under the name uncultured bacterium. RNAcentral describes it as "partial 16S ribosomal RNA". It matches the Rfam family "Bacterial small subunit ribosomal RNA", at positions 524 to 776 of the family's 1533-position model. The record is from RNAcentral.
UACAGAGGUGGCAAGCGUUGUUCGGAAUUACUGGGCGUAAAGGGCGCGUAGGCGGCCUUCUAAGUCAGACGUGAAAUCCCUCAGCUUAACUGGGGAACUGCGUCUGAUACUGGAUGGCUUGGAUUUGGGAGAGGGAUGCGGAAUUCCAGGUGUAGCGGUGAAAUGCGUAGAUAUCUGGAGGAACACCGGUGGCGAAGGCGGCAUCCUGGACCAACAUUGACGCUGAGGAGCGAAAGCCAGGGGAGCAAACGGG